RNAcentral lists this transfer RNA (73 nucleotides) under Pelodiscus sinensis (Chinese soft-shelled turtle). It matches the Rfam family "tRNA". Rfam says of the family: Transfer RNA (tRNA) molecules are approximately 80 nucleotides in length. Their secondary structure includes four short double-helical elements and three loops (D, anti-codon, and T loops). Further hydrogen bonds mediate the characteristic L-shaped molecular structure. tRNAs have two regions of fundamental functional importance: the anti-codon, which is responsible for specific mRNA codon recognition, and the 3' end, to which the tRNAs corresponding amino acid is attached (by aminoacyl-tRNA synthetases). tRNAs cope with the degeneracy of the genetic code in two manners: having more than one tRNA (with a specific anti-codon) for a particular amino acid; and 'wobble' base-pairing, i.e. permitting non-standard base-pairing at the 3rd anti-codon position. Lineage: Eukaryota; Metazoa; Chordata; Testudines; Trionychidae. The record is from Rfam by way of RNAcentral.
GCUGAAGUAGUUCAGUUGGGAGCGUAUUAGACUGAAGCUCUAAAGGUCCUUGGCUCAAUUUCAGGCUUUUACA